This 302-nucleotide ribosomal RNA is filed under the name uncultured Thermus sp. Its description in RNAcentral is "bacterial SSU rRNA". It matches the Rfam family "Bacterial small subunit ribosomal RNA", at positions 1080 to 1382 of the family's 1533-position model. The record is from RNAcentral. Lineage: Bacteria; Thermotogati; Deinococcota; Deinococci; Thermales; Thermaceae.
UUAAGUCCCGCAACGAGCGCAACCCCCGCCGUUAGUUGCCAGCGGUUCGCCGGGCACUCUAACGGGACUGCCCGCGAAAGCGGGAGGAAGGAGGGGACGACGUCUGGUCAGCAUGGCCCUUACGGCCUGGGCGACACACGUGCUACAAUGCCCACUACAAAGCGAUGCCACCCGGCAACGGGGAGCUAAUCGCAAAAAGGUGGGCCCAGUUCGGAUUGGGGUCUGCAACCCGACCCCAUGAAGCCGGAAUCGCUAGUAAUCGCGGAUCAGCCAUGCCGCGGUCGAAUACGUUCCCGGGCCUU